RNAcentral lists this ribosomal RNA (253 nucleotides) under uncultured bacterium. RNAcentral describes it as "partial 16S ribosomal RNA". It matches the Rfam family "Bacterial small subunit ribosomal RNA", at positions 524 to 776 of the family's 1533-position model. The record is from RNAcentral.
UACGAGGGGGGCGAGCGUUGUUCGGAAUUAUUGGGCGUAAAGGGCGCGUAGGCGGUGCGGUAAGUCACCUGUGAAAACUCUGGGCUCAACUCAGAGCCUGCAGGCGAAACUGCCGUGCUGGAGUGUGGGAGAGGUGCGUGGAAUUUCCGGUGUAGCGGUGAAAUGCGUAGAUAUCGGGAGGAACACCUGUGGCGAAAGCGGCGCACUGGACCACAACUGACGCUGAGGCGCGAAAGCUAGGGGAGCAAACAGG